Molecule: ribosomal RNA, 631 nt
Filed under: Ischnocnema verrucosa
Lineage: Eukaryota; Metazoa; Chordata; Amphibia; Anura; Brachycephalidae
Description: partial 16S ribosomal RNA
Rfam family: Bacterial large subunit ribosomal RNA (bases 148-631)
Source: RNAcentral
GCCAAAGAUCUAGCCCCUCCCCUCUCCCUUCCAUCAAGCACAAAUUAAAAUAUUCUCACGCCUGAGUAAAGACGAUUGAAAACUCAAUAGGAGCUAUGCCCGUACCGCAAGGGAAAAAUGAAAUAAAAUGAAACAUUUAAAGCCCCAAAAAGUAGAGAUCAAACCUUGUACCUUUCGCAUCAUGGUUUAACUAGUCCCCCCCGAGCAAAAAGAAUUUUAGUUUGAACCCCCGAAACUGAAUGAGCUACCCUAAGGCAGCUAAACGAGCACACUCGUCCCUGUGGCAAAAGGGUGAGAAGACCUUAUAGUAGCGGUGACAAACCUAACGAAUUCAGUAAUAGCUGGUUACUUGAGAAAAGAAUUUUAGUCCGACCUAAAGCACCCACUAACCCUAAUUAACGCUUUAGAGCAAUUCGAAUAAGGUACAGCUUAUUUGAAACAGGACACAACCUCCGGCAACGGGUAAUUCUAACUGCAUCCUGAACUAAGUGGGCCUAAGAGCAGCCACCUUAAAAGAACGUCAAAGCCUAAUUCACUCCGCACCCAAUACCUCAACUCUUAGAGAACCCCUCAACACUAUCAAGUACUUCUAUGCUCCCCAUAGAAAUUUUUAUGUUAAAACUAGUAAUAA